Molecule: unclassified non-coding RNA, 229 nt
Filed under: Basidiomycota sp.
Lineage: Eukaryota; Fungi; Basidiomycota
Description: partial contains small subunit ribosomal RNA, internal transcribed spacer 1, and 5.8S ribosomal RNA
Rfam family: Eukaryotic small subunit ribosomal RNA (bases 1-47)
Source: RNAcentral
AAAGUCGUAACAAGGUUUCCGUAGGUGAACCUGCGGAAGGAUCAUUACAAAUCCAACGUCCACAUAUAUCAUAUGUGAGACCUCGUUGAAUCGUUCGUGAGAUCGUAUGGGCAGUCUCUAGUAGACUGGUCUACGACUUGAUUCCAACCUAGUGUGAUCGUUGUGUUCAUAUGUAUGUAUCUUUUAAACACAAAAAGAACAACUUAUAACAAUGGAUCUCUAGGCUCCU